This 90-nucleotide transfer RNA is filed under the name Aquicoccus porphyridii. Its description in RNAcentral is "tRNA-Ser". It matches the Rfam family "tRNA". From Rfam's summary of the family: Transfer RNA (tRNA) molecules are approximately 80 nucleotides in length. Their secondary structure includes four short double-helical elements and three loops (D, anti-codon, and T loops). Lineage: Bacteria; Pseudomonadati; Pseudomonadota; Alphaproteobacteria; Rhodobacterales; Paracoccaceae. The record is from RNAcentral. RNAcentral also lists the same sequence under 1 other name.
GGAGACGUGGCCGAGUGGUCGAAGGCGCUCCCCUGCUAAGGGAGUAGGCGGGAAACCGCCUCGAGGGUUCGAAUCCCUUCGUCUCCGCCA